RNAcentral lists this ribosomal RNA (338 nucleotides) under uncultured bacterium. RNAcentral describes it as "bacterial SSU rRNA". It matches the Rfam family "Bacterial small subunit ribosomal RNA", at positions 473 to 810 of the family's 1533-position model. The record is from RNAcentral.
CGGUACCUCAAAAACAAGCCACGGCUAACUACGUGCCAGCAGCCGCGGUAAUACGUAGGUGGCGAGCGUUGUCCGGAAUUACUGGGUGUAAAGGGCGUGUAGGCGGGGAUGCAAGUCAGAUGUGAAAAUCCCCGGCUUAACCCNGGGANUGCAUUUGAAACUGUGUCUCUUGAGUGUCGGAGAGGAAAGCGGAAUUCCCAGUGUAGCGGUGAAAUGCGUAGAGAUUGGGAGGAACACCCGUGGCGAAGGCGGCUAUCUGGACNGCAACUGACGCUGAGGCGCGAAAGCGUGGGGAGCAAACAGGAUUAGAUACCCUGGUAGUNCCCGCCGUAAACGAU